CCGCGGCAACCACAGGCGCACGGCUGAGGACAGGUAGAUCCGCAGGCCGCAGGUCCCGCAGGUAGGAUCCUCAGCUUUGCACGCUCUCUCGCGGGGAGCCUAGUUUCUUGGCAUUCCAUUUCCUCGCCAGGUACCAGUCUUGAGUCACCAUCCGUGGAGUGCGUCGGCCCGCCGCGUCCUAACUCCUUCCCCCGCUCGCCGCGCCGGUCAUUCCCCCUGUGCGUUGUGUGUGUGCCCCGACAAGUGCUUCUAACCGGUCCCCUAUGCGUUACUGACUCCCGAAAUCAAGUGUGCUUUUGACAAUGUGUGUGUGUUUUCGUUUCUAAGGGAUUAAACUAACUCUCAUCACAGAAAUACAGCGCGCAUCCAAAGUGAUGGUGAUACGAAACUGGGCGACCAUAUCGGUCGUCAUAGCAACCUGCUUUUUAGCGCAGGCCUCGCCUCAGGUAAGGCAUCUCUUAUAAUUCAUUAUUAUUUUCUCAGAGAUCCCGCCGAAACAUAUUUCACUCUCCUCCAAAAUUUUGCCACGGUUUUAAUUAAACCUUCAAUCGGCAAAUCAUUGAAGAACGCCAUUGGCGUGAAAAAUAUUCGAUCGACUUCAUUUUGGUCUGUAGUGUUUUUAAUCAUCAUCGUUCAUUAAGGGGCCCCAUCGAGGGUAAAAAUUGACGGUAAACCAAAUGUGAAAGUUUUACUGACAUAAUUCCACUACACCUCCGUAUUGAUUUGGGAAAACACUCCUCAAUCUUUAAUAUUUAUUGGUUUUUGUCCACACAAAUAAUGCUGUCUGCCGUUGACCCUAAUAUUUGAUCAGGAGAUCACGAUUACCUGCCUAAAAUGUGUAAAAAGACCUGCGAAUUUUUAAAAACGAGCGGUAUAUCCCUUCGUUACUUCUCUCUAAAAAGUAGUAUACAAAAUACACAUGUAUCCUCGAGGGUGCAUGGUAUGCUUCAAUUUUCAUUUUUUUUAUCAAUGUAAGUCGAAGCGACCAGUCUCUUUGAUUCAAAUAAAAGAAUAAUACUUUCGUUUUCUUUUUGGGGUUUUGAUGGAUUUGCAACUCUUAAUUGAUGAAACCGACAAAUCUUUGUACCUCCGUUAUAGCUAACUGAUCAAUUUUUCCAGUUCUUUUGAUGUCCUAUCUCUGGCCUGAUUACCAUUAAACCGCAGGUGGACAUUCAAUAGCAUCUAUGAAUGCUGGCGUUGGUGGAGUCGCUCUAAUAGUCUCUAUUGCAAUGUUACCUUGGCACAUUUAGAUAGGAGAAAGAACAAAUGAUACAAGCAUAUGUUCUAGUGUUUGAACAAUCGAAUCUGUUGCACUUAAAAAGAUCAUGACUUUAUGUUGCCUAUCAGAUCGUCGAAAACUGUAUUAACUUAGUUUUUGUCUCCGAAGCAAUCAGCACAUGGAUAUAUAAAUGAACCUUGUUUUAGGACUGGAAUCUUUAGAUUAAGUUAGAAAAGAGGUCUCCAAAUUGUCCAACUGUAUGGAAAAUCAUUCCAACCGAUGAACUUCAGUUCACUCAAGGAAAUCUAUUCGUAGAUUCAAGAUUGAAACUUCAUCAGAGUAAUUUCGCAGUUGGACAACUUAGCGGUCUGUUCUUACACCCACUCCGUUUUUUUAAAUUUUAUUUUCUUAAUCAUCAAAGUUAAUUAAUACGAACAUAGACAUCAUUUAAAAGGAAUUUUACGAAAAACAGUUGUCUCUUUGACGACACAAGAAUAAAACUCACAAUUUUUUGAUAAGUUUACUUUUCUUGCCCCGCGUUAAAGUCUCCAAGAAUAGGAA
This 1780-nucleotide long non-coding RNA is filed under the name Bemisia tabaci. RNAcentral's name for it is "lncRNA ENSSSA1UGG008112". Lineage: Eukaryota; Metazoa; Arthropoda; Insecta; Hemiptera; Aleyrodidae. The record is from RNAcentral.